CAGGAAAUCACUGAUAUCUUGCCCA
RNAcentral lists this non-coding RNA (25 nucleotides) under Rattus norvegicus (Norway rat). The record is from RNAcentral. Lineage: Eukaryota; Metazoa; Chordata; Mammalia; Rodentia; Muridae.